GAUGAACGCUGGCGGCGUGCCUAAUACAUGCAAGUCGAGCGAACGGACGAGAAGCUUGCUUCUCUGAUGUUAGCGGCGGACGGGUGAGUAACACGUGGAUAACCUACCUAUAAGACUGGGAUAACUUCGGGAAACCGUAGCUAAUACCGGAUAAUAUUUUGAACCGCAUGGUUCAAAAGUGAAAGACGGUUUUGCUGUCACUUAUAGAUGAAUCCGCACUGCAUUAGCUAGUUGGUAAGGUAACGGCUUACCAAGGCAACGAUGCAUAGCCGACCUGAGAGGGUGAUCGGCCACGCUGGAACUGAGACACGGUCCAGACUCCUACGGGAGACAGCAGUAGGGAAUCUUCCGCGAUGGGCGAAAGCCUGACGGAGCAACGCCGCGUGAGUGAUGAAGGUCUUCGGAUCGUAAAACUCUGUUAUUAGGGAAGAACAUAUGUGUAAGUAACUGUGCACAUCUUGACGGUACCUAAUCAGAAAGCCACGGCUAACUACGUG
This 497-nucleotide ribosomal RNA is filed under the name uncultured bacterium. Its description in RNAcentral is "partial 16S ribosomal RNA". It matches the Rfam family "Bacterial small subunit ribosomal RNA", at positions 28 to 507 of the family's 1533-position model. The record is from RNAcentral.